GGAUGUGAGGGCGAUCCGGCUGCGACAUCUGUCACCUCAUUGAUCACCAGGGUUGAUUCAGCUGCUCUGGCUGGCUAGGUGGGUGUCCCUUUCUCCUCCCUUACCACUUCAGCAGCUGCACUACCAGUCAAAGAGGACAACCAUCCCUGAUAGAAGAGGACCAGUCUUCAGUCAAGGGUAUACGAGUAGCUGCACUCCCCUGCUAAAACCUCCAGACAAGCUCUCACAGUCAGAAAAUAUAUUUUCCCCAGCACAAGUAAAUGUCCCAUUUUAUGCUGCAUGCCUGAGACACAGUAACA
This is a non-coding RNA of Dipodomys ordii (Ord's kangaroo rat), 299 nucleotides long. The record is from Rfam. Lineage: Eukaryota; Metazoa; Chordata; Mammalia; Rodentia; Heteromyidae.